RNA transcript from Culicoides brevitarsis, 1485 nucleotides. RefSeq lists it as uncharacterized. The transcript is spliced from 4 exons. NCBI's taxonomy places the organism in Eukaryota, Metazoa, Arthropoda, Insecta, Diptera, Ceratopogonidae. The record is from RefSeq and is a predicted model, not a curated record.
ACUUAGUUUUGAUUUAAUUGUGCACGUGUUUUGACUGUUUUUGUGUAUUUUUGUCCUAAAAUAUCUUUAAAUGUAAUUUUUUCACUAAAAAAAGUGAAAUUUUUUCUCAAAAAUUUUUUUUCUUUAAAUUUUUUUCAUCAUGAGCGUUCAAGAGCCUGAAAAACUCCUUAAAUGUCCUUACAAUCCAUGUCAUCAAAUCCGAGUUUCACGCUUCCAACGUCACAUUUACAAGUGUGCUCGCCAACAUCCGCAUAUUGAAUUAGAGCAAUGCCCUUACGAUAUUUCCCAUUUUUUGGACCCGCAUGAGAUGAAGCUUCAUAAGCAAACUUGUCCUGAAAAAUGGAAAUUUGACAAAUAUUUGCUCGAAUUUCGUCCUUCUACGAGCGACAACAAGGAAAAUUUUCCAAAAGUCAAACUUCCCGAGGUCAAAUAUGAGGAGAGUUGGGAUCAUUACAACGUCAAAACGUACGAUCCGGAAGAACAUUGCACGGAAAAUCCAAUAAUUCGUUCGUGUCACGGAAAAACUAAGAAGGAACGUCGCGAGUUUUAUGAAAAGGAGAAUGAACGCAUCACGGAAAUCGAGAAAACUCUUCCUCGUUAAUGUUUGAAAAGACAAAAAAUGUCUUUAAAAUGAUUUUUUUGACUGUCUAAAUUUUUUUUUGUUCUAAAAAUAUGAUUUAAAAUGAAAAAUUGCCUUGAAGGCAUGAAAAUUUAACGUAAAAUAAUAAAAACUUGAACUUGAAAAUGAUUUUUUGUUAAAUUUUUAUAGUAAAAAAUUAAUUGAGGCACGAAACAAUGCCCAUUGUCAAUUUUUUUGAUAAAAUUUCAUUGACUUUGAAUUAAAUUUAUUAAUUUUCUCGCAUUUAACUUUCGAUUUUCAACUAAAACGGUCAUGAAAAUAAUUUUUCUUUUGUUUGUCGUUGGUUUGUCAACGGCUCAAGCACAAUUCGCGACGACAUUUUUCAAUCCAACUUCAACGAGUACCUCCAUCAACUCCGAUGUCGAUCCCGAUAUUUUUACGACAUUUUUUGACGUUACGACAUGCGAUGAGCAAACAGACUUGGCUUUAGGAGAUAUUUUGAUGACAAUGUUCUCGACAGCAGCAAUGAAUGGCGAUCCAAACACGGGAAAUCUAGGAAUUAAUCCCGGAGGCACUUUUUAUAACACGGCAACUGGAGGAAAUAACCAAGGAGGAGUUUUGUACAAUACCGCGAACCCCUACUCGGGAUAUGGUUUGGGAAAUUUCGCUUUUCCGCAGGUAAAUUUACUACAAGGACGUCUCGGAUACAGCAAUAACGGGUAUCAAGGUCAAGUUCAGAACAGAAAUUAUAGAGGAAAUUACGGAAAAAAUUACGAUUACUACGGAUUUGGAAGCGGCGUGAUGUUUAAUCAGCCUGGAAGGAGAGUUGGAUCGAGUGUUUCGAAUAAUUUUAAGCCGAAUGCUCCGUUUUAUUGGUAUUUUGCUUGAAAUUGUUGAUUUUUUCU